This 481-nucleotide ribosomal RNA is filed under the name uncultured bacterium. Its description in RNAcentral is "partial 16S ribosomal RNA". It matches the Rfam family "Bacterial small subunit ribosomal RNA", at positions 30 to 507 of the family's 1533-position model. The record is from RNAcentral.
UUGCACGCUGGCGGCAUGCCUUACACAUGCAAGUCGAACGGUAACGGGCCUUCGGGUGCCGACGAGUGGCGAACGGGUGAGUAAUACAUCGGAACGUGCCCGAUCGUGGGGGAUAACGAGGCGAAAGCUUUGCUAAUACCGCAUACGAUCUACGGAUGAAAGCAGGGGACCGCAAGGCCUUGCGCGGACGGAGCGGCCGAUGGCAGAUUAGGUAGUUGGUGGGAUAAAAGCUUACCAAGCCGACGAUCUGUAGCUGGUCUGAGAGGAUGAUCAGCCACACUGGGACUGAGACACGGCCCAGACUCCUACGGGAGGCAGCAGUGGGGAAUGUUGGACAAUGGGCGCAAGCCUGAUCCAGCCAUGCCGCGUGCAGGAUGAAGGACUUCGGGUUGUAAACUGCUUUUGUACGGAACGAAAAGCCUUCUUUUAAUACAGGAGGGUCAUGACGGUACCGUAAGAAUAAGCACCGGCUAACUACGUG